UACGUAGGGUGCAGGCGUUAAUCGGAAUUACUGGGCGUAAAGCGUGCGCAGGCGGUUUGCUAAGACAGGUGUGAAAUCCCCGGGCUUAACCUGGGAACUGCGCUUGUAACUGGCAAGCUUGAGUGUGGCAGAGGGGGGUGGAAUUCCGCGUGUAGCAGUGAAAUGCGUAGAUAUCAGGAGGAAUACCGAUGGCGAAGGCAGGUCUCUGGGCUGACACUGACGCUCAUGCACGAAAGCGUGGGGAGCGAACUGG
RNAcentral lists this ribosomal RNA (253 nucleotides) under uncultured bacterium. Its description in RNAcentral is "partial 16S ribosomal RNA". It matches the Rfam family "Bacterial small subunit ribosomal RNA", at positions 524 to 776 of the family's 1533-position model. The record is from RNAcentral.